Molecule: ribosomal RNA, 1350 nt
Filed under: metagenome
Description: bacterial LSU rRNA
Rfam family: Bacterial large subunit ribosomal RNA
Source: RNAcentral
UGAGUGCGAGCGGCUACGGCCGCGAAGUGGGUGAUGUCAAGCUUCCAAGAAAAGCCCUAUACCCGUUAAGGCAUGAUGGCCUGUACCCGAAACCGACACAGGUGGGGUGGUAGAGAAUACCGAGGGGCGCGAGGUAACUCUCUCUAAGGAACUCGGCAAAAUGGCCCCGUAACUUCGGGAGAAGGGGUGCCACCGCAAGGUGGUCGCAGUGAAGAGGCCCAGGCGACUGUUUACCAAAAACACAGGUCUCCGCUAAGUCGCAAGACGAUGUAUGGGGGCUGACGCCUGCCCAGUGCCGGGAGGAUAAGGAAGCUGGUCAGCGCAAGCGAAGCUGGCGACUGAAGCCCCGGUGAACGGCGGCCGUAACAAUAACGGUCCUAAGGUAGCGAAAUUCCUUGUCGGGUAAGUUCCGACCCGCACGAAAGGCGUAACGAUCUGGGCGCUGUCUCGGAGAGAGGCUCGGCGAAAUAGAAUUGUCUGUGAAGAUGCGGACUACGUGCACCCGGACAGAAAGACCCUAUGAAGCUUUACUGUAGCUUGGUAUUGUGCCCGGGCUCUGAAUGCGCAGGAUAGGUGGGAGGCUUUGAUCCAUGGCUUGCGGGUCAUGGUGAGCCAACGGUGAGAUACCACUCUUUCAGAGCUAGGGUUCUAACGGUCACCCGUCAUCCGGGGACCGGACAGUAUCAGGUGGGCAGUUUGACUGGGGCGGUCGCCUCCUAAAAGGUAACGGAGGCGCGCAAAGGUUUGCUCAGGCUGGUUGGAAAUCAGCCGACGAGUGCAAAAGCAGAAGCAAGCUUGACUGUGAGACCUACAAGUCGAACAGGGACGAAAGUCGGCUUUAGUGAUCCGACGGUUCUGAGUGGAAGGGCCGUCGCUCAACGGAUAAAAGUUACUCUAAGGAUAACAGGCUGAUCUCCCCCAAGAGUUCACAUCGACGGGGAGGUUUGGCACCUCGAUGUCGGCUCAUCGCAACCUGGGGCUGAAGUCGGUCCCAAGGGUUGGGCUGUUCGCCCAUUAAAGCGGUACGCGAGCUGGGUUCAGAACGUCGUGAGACAGUUCGGUCCAUAUCCGGUGCACGCGCAGGAACAUUGAGAGGAUUUCUCCCUAGUACGAGAGGACCGGGAGGAACGCACCUCUGGUGUGCCAGUUAUCGUGCCAACGGUAAACGCUGGGUAGCCAUGUGCGGAGUGGAUAACCGCUGAAAGCAUCUAAGUGGGAAGCCCACCUCAAGAUGAGUGUUCCCAUGGCAUAAGCCAGUAAGGUCACGGGAAGAACACCCGUUGAUAGGCUCUACGUGGAAGCCGGGUAACCGGUGAAGCGGAGGAGUACUAAUAGACCGAGGGCUUGACU